AGAGUUUGAUCCUGGCUCAGGACGAACGCUGGCGGCAUGCCUCAUACAUGCAAGUCGAACGGUUUUUAGUUGAAGGCUUGCCUUUAACUAGAGAUAGUGGCGGACGGGUGAGUAACGCGUGGGCAACCUGCCCUAAAGUAGGGGAUAACAUUUCGAAAGGGAUGCUAAUACCUUAUAAGGUCCUCUUUUCGCAUGAUUAGAGGAAGAAAGGCGAAAGCCGCUUUAGGAUGGGCCCGCGUCCCAUUAGCUAGUUGGUAGGGUAACAGCCUACCAAGGCGACGAUGGGUAGCCGGCCUGAGAGGGCGAUCGGCCACACUGGGACUGAGACACGGCCCAGACUCCUACGGGAGGCAGCAGUCGGGAAUAUUGGUCAAUGGGGGAAACCCUGAACCAGCAAUGCCGCGUGAGUGACGAAGGUUUUCGGAUCGUAAAGCUCUGUCCUUGGGGAAGAUAAUGACGGUACCCAAGAAGAAAGCCACGGCUAACUACGUGCCAGCAGCCGCGGUAAUAC
This 511-nucleotide ribosomal RNA is filed under the name uncultured soil bacterium. Its description in RNAcentral is "bacterial SSU rRNA". It matches the Rfam family "Bacterial small subunit ribosomal RNA", at positions 8 to 526 of the family's 1533-position model. The record is from RNAcentral.